AUCGCCGCGGCUCAUUCAACAACGCGUGUGGGAGGCACCCUGACCAUCCAACGGCCUGCUCACGCACACGUGUGUACGUCGGUGCGGGUGUGUUGCCUUCCUUUAUUAUCUCUUCCCUCUUUUGUUGCUACCGUCACCGGGUGACCCCGCUCCUUGCCGCGACUACCUUCUCAGUUGCUUCCCUGGUUACGUCGGAACGCUUCUUUCACUCCCCAGCAUCGUCGACGUGGCGCGAGGUGUGUGCCAUCACGGAGAGUCGCCGGCCCAUCGUUGGAAAGCAAGCCAACAAUUACAAAAGACGACGACUUCCCACUGUGGAUGGUGGAAGGGCGCGCACACACAAGCACACACGUGAGGCGGAGCAUAGACGGUAACAAAAAGCAAAAAAAAAAUUGGAUUAGCGAUGUUGUGUGCCGUUCGAAACUCACAUCGACGCUGACUCCCUGAUCCAUAGACGCCACCAGCAUCUCAAUAGACUGAGAAGCAGACACACACACACACACGCGCGCGCGCGCGUAAGUGAACACACAAAGAAAACGAUUGUGAGGGGGCGUACUCGACUGCCCACUCGCGCAGCAUUUUGCAGCGGCUGGACAUCUUUAUGCUCCUCACCUUUGCGCAGCACAAGUAGAAAGCAGGCGUCAUGCGACCCUCGAGAGACCGGGACGCCGCUCGCCGCAAACGGCGCCGCGCGCGAGAGGACGAGGUCGAUGCCGCAGGCCCGCACCCACCGAGGCGAGAGGAGGUCGAGGACGACGAUGACGCGGACCACUCCUCCGGUGACGAGGCCAACGACGAGGAGGGGGAAGACUUGUACGGGGAGAACUUCAUGCAGGACUAUCUCCAGCCGGAUGAGGAGAGCGAGGUGGCCGAGGAGGAAGUCGGCGAGGACAACGACUGGAUUGCAGACGACGACAGCUCCGUUUCCGAGAUCUCCGAGGGCGGCCGCAUCGCUGUGGAUGAGCUGCUCGAGCGCCGUCGGGAGAAAGAGGAGGCGCUAGCCGAGGAGCGGAGGCAGCUGCAGGAAGGCAUCUUCAGCGACGUGGACGACGACGAUGGCGACGAUGACGAUGAUGCGUCGUGGGCUUCCGAAGAGGGCGCGGGCGGUUUGACACGGAGUGGGGGCGCCGCGGUUGGCGAUCAAGGCAGCGACAUCGAUCACGGAGAGGACGUCGGCUACGGCGAUCCCAACGACGAAGCCUACGUGCGUGGAGACCUGGAGUCGAUGAGCUUCAACUGGCGGCAGCCGCAGGGGGAGCUGGUGGAGUGGCUUGCGCAGGAGCUGCCUCGCCGCGUGAUUAAGAACCGCAUCUACAACUUCUACUACAACUACAUCGUGAACGACGUCAGCGUCUACGAGGAGAAGGUGAAGGCAAUGACGCGCGAAAACGACAAGAGUUUUCAGCUGAGCUACGAUCAUCUGAGCCGCGUGUACGACAGUGUUCUCGCGCUGUGGCUGGUGGACGCUCCAGAUCCGAUGAUCGAGCUACUGGAGGAGGCUGCCAACUACUUCACCUUCAAGCUAUACCCGCAGUAUCGCAAGGUGCACUCGCACAUCUUUGUUCGGAUUUGCGACCUGCCCUUGUGCGAUCCGAUCCGCGACUUUCGCCAGGUGCACAUGAAUGUGCUCGUACGGGUGGAGGGGGUGGUGAUUCGCCGCUCACCGGUGUACCCGCAGAUGGACGCCGUCAAGUACGACUGCGCGCGGUGCUCCUACAUUAUCGGUCCCAUCUACCAGCGCGGCGACAAGGAGCAGCGCGUGAGCAUGUGCCCCAGCUGCCACAGCAAGGGGCCGUUCCGCGUGAACAUGCGCCUGACGGAGUACCGCAACCAUCAAACGAUAGUUCUGCAGGAGCCCCCUGGCAAGGUACCGCCUGGGCGGCUGCCGCGCAGCUUGGAGGUGGUACUGACGAACGACCUCAUUGAUCGCGCGAAACCUGGCGAGGAGGUGGACGUGACGGGGAUAUACCGCAACAACUUCGAUCCGUUGCUCAACAGCCGCCAAGGCUUUCCCGUCUUCACGACCGUGCUGCACGCGAACAACGUUAUCCGACGCACUACGGAGCUGGGCAUGUUUCGGCUGCCAGAUGAUGAACGACAACGCAUUAUAGAGCUCAGUAAGUCGCCCAACAUUCGAAAGAAGCUCUUACAGUCCAUUGCGCCGAGCAUCCACGGCCGCGACGACAUCAAGCUCGGGCUGCUGCUGGCCAUGAUGGGUGCAGUGCCAAAGGACAUCGGCGGCGACCAGUCGCAUCGCAUUCGGGGCGACAUCAACGUCCUCAUGGUUGGCGAUCCCGGCUGCGCAAAGUCGCAGUUUCUCAAGUUUGUUGAGAAAACGGCCGACCGCACAGUCUUCACGACUGGCCGCGGCUCCACCGCUGUUGGUCUGACGGCAUCUGUGCACAAGGACAGCGUCAAUGGCGACUUCGUGCUGGAGGGCGGCGCCCUCGUCAUUGCGGACCGCGGCUGCUGCCUCAUUGACGAGUUCGACAAAAUGUCUGACCAAGAUCGAACGUCCAUCCACGAGGCUAUGGAACAGCAGACGAUCUCGGUGGCGCGCGGUGGCAUUGUAACGACGCUGUCCGCGCGCUGCUGCAUCAUCGCGGCGGCGAAUCCAAUGGGCGGCCGCUACGACCCUUCUACCUCGUUUGAUGCCAACGUGAAUCUUACCACACCGAUCCUCUCCCGCUUCGACUUGUUGUUUGUGGUGCGGGAUGAGGUGAACGUCGAAUUGGACGAGCGGCUUGCGACGUUUAUCUGCGACUCGCACAUGCGCAACCACCCGCGAACGCAGGAGGAGACGCGGCUUCUGCAGCGCGACAGGCACGAGGAGCUGUCGAGGUUGCGCUACGCGCUGGAGAACGCGUCAACAGAGGGCGAGCGCGAGGAGUGCGAGGAGCAGCUGCGGCGCCUGCGCGAGAGCGUCGAGGAUUCUUCCCGCUUCGAGGACGACGACCCAGACAGCGACAAGCCGCUCCCGCAAUCCUUGCUGCGCAAGUACAUCCUGUUCGCGAAGAGUCACUGCUUUCCCCGCAUCUCCAACAUCGACCCCGAUACCAUUGCACGUCUAUAUGUCGAGCUGCGGCAGGAGUCGAAGCACGGCGGCAUCGCCAUCACAGUGCGGCACAUGGAAUCCGUCAUUCGCCUCUCCGAGGCGCACGCACGGGUGCAUCUUCGGGAAUACGUGACCGACGAGGACGUCACCGCGGCCGUCUCGCUCUUUCUCCGCUGCUUCAUACAGACACAGAAGUACAGUCUACGCAGCGCGAUGGAGGCGCGCUUCCGCAAGUUCCUCGAAUCCGACACGGAAAGUCUACCACUCAUUCGCCACCGCAUCAAGGUGGCGGUGCAGACGGUGCGCCAGUUCGAGCGCCAGCUGUCUGGUGGGGUGGAGCCGACCCAAGUGCGCAUCGACGUAUCGGAGCUGGACUACUACACAGCGAACAUGUCUCAAGAGGCCCUGAACGCCUUCUAUGAGAGUGCGGAGUUCAGGAAGGAGUACCGGCUGAUUCGCGACCCCGUGACGCACGCGCCUCUGCAGAUUGAGCACUCGCUGGCGUGACGCGUGCCGUGCGCUUGCCCCCUCUCUGCUGCGACUUCCAAUGCGCAUUAAAGGCACGACAGGUGCUGUAUCAACAGAAAACGAAGAAAGAGAGAUAAGCCUUUGGAUGGGGCAGGGGGCGUGUCGUUAGGUGUGUGUGUGUGCGCGCGUGUCUCCGAGUCAUGUCGAUCGACGAAAUGCCCUCUCGCCUGCUGGUUUGUGUAGGCGUGUGCAUUCACCGCGUUUGGUGAUGGGCGCUCUGUUUUCUUUUCCUAUCUUUGGUGUGGUCGCCCGCAUGUCCCGUCUCUUGUGUUCGCGGUGCCCCCCCUCCCUUUGUGUUGCUGUUUGGCCCGUUGAGCCGCGGCACGGUUGCUCGCGCGCGCCCGCCGUGCGGAGGGGACGUUUUCUGCACAGCUCUCCAACAUUCACAUACACACACC
RNAcentral lists this unclassified non-coding RNA (3981 nucleotides) under Leishmania donovani. Its description in RNAcentral is "gene:LdHU3.28.1120(CDS-product:DNA_replication_li censing_factor_MCM2_putative)". The record is from RNAcentral. Lineage: Eukaryota; Euglenozoa; Kinetoplastea; Trypanosomatida; Trypanosomatidae.